AGUGGGGAAUAUUGCACAAUGGGCGCAAGCCUGAUGCAGCAACGCCGCGUGAGGGACGACGGCCUUCGGGUUGUAAACCUCUUUUAGCAGGGAAGAAGCGAAAGUGACGGUACCUGCAGAAAAAGCACCGGCUAACUACGUGCCAGCAGCCGCGGUAAUACGUAGGGUGCAAGCGUUAUCCGGAAUUAUUGGGCGUAAAGAGCUCGUAGGCGGUUUGUCGCGUCUGCUGUGAAACCCCGAGGCUCAACCUCGGGCCUGCAGUGGGUACGGGCAGACUAGAGUGCGGUAGGGGAGAUUGGAAUUCCUGGUGUAGCGGUGGAAUGCGCAGAUAUCAGGAGGAACACCGAUGGCGAAGGCAGAUCUCUGGGCCGUAACUGACGCUGAGGAGCGAAAGGGUGGGGAGCAAACAGGCUUAGAUACCCUGGUAGUCCACCCCGUAAACGUUGGGAACUAGUUGUGGGGUCCAUUCCACGGAUUCCGUGACGCAGCUAACGCAUUAAGUUCCCCGCCUGGGGAGUACGGCCGCAAGGCUA
This 533-nucleotide ribosomal RNA is filed under the name uncultured bacterium. Its description in RNAcentral is "bacterial SSU rRNA". It matches the Rfam family "Bacterial small subunit ribosomal RNA", at positions 353 to 896 of the family's 1533-position model. The record is from RNAcentral.